Molecule: ribosomal RNA, 252 nt
Filed under: uncultured bacterium
Lineage: Bacteria
Description: partial 16S ribosomal RNA
Rfam family: Bacterial small subunit ribosomal RNA
Source: RNAcentral
UACGUAGGUCCCGAGCGUUGUCCGGAUUUAUUGGGCGUAAAGCGAGCGCAGGUGGUUUAUUAAGUCUGGUGUAAAAGGCAGUGGCUCAACCAUUGUAUGCAUUGGAAACUGGUAGACUUGAGCGCAGGAGAGGAGAGUGGAAUUCCAUGUGUAGCGGUGAGAUGCGUAGAUAUAUGGAGGAACACCGGUGGCGAAAGCGGCUCUCUGGCCUGUAACUGACACUGAGGCUCGAAAGCGUGGGGAGCAAACAGG